Molecule: ribosomal RNA, 406 nt
Filed under: uncultured bacterium
Lineage: Bacteria
Description: partial 16S ribosomal RNA
Rfam family: Bacterial small subunit ribosomal RNA
Source: RNAcentral
AUUGAACGCUGGCGGCAGGCCUAACCCAUGCAAGUCGACCGAGUGGCAGACGGGUGAGUCAUGUCUGGGAAACUGCCUGAUGGAGGGGGAUAACUACUGGAAACGGUAUAUAAUCCCGCAUACUAUCAGAUGUGCCCAGAUGGGCUUAGCUAGUUGGUGGGGUAACGGCUCACAAAGGCGACGACCCCUCGAUGGUCUGAGAGGAUGACCAGCCAAACUUGAACUGAGACACGGUCCAGACUGCGACGGGAGGCAGCAGUGGGGAAUAUUGCACAAUGGGCGCAAGCAUGAUGCAGCCAUGCCGCGUGUAUGAAGAAGGCCUUCGGGUUGUAAAGUACUUUCAGCGGGGAGGCGUUACCCGCAGAAGAAGCACCGGCUAACUCCGUGCCAGCAGCCGCGGUAAUAC